UUUUUCUGCAUGCCAUGUUCUUCUUAUCUGUAAAGUAGGAAUGAUAAUAGUACCGACUUAGAGUGCAGCUCUGAGGCUUAGGGGAUGUUCACAUGCAGUGCUUAGAACAGCACCUUGUACAUGGGACUAGCAAAUCAGACCUCUUUGGGAAUGUGCCUGUUCACGAACACCAACCAUCUCCCAGGGAACUCCGGUGGCUGGCGCUUUCUUGCAGCAGUUGAAUAAGUUGCUGUUAGAAGCUGGCACGGCAGGUUCUUGUUUCCGCAUUCCAGACACCCACAGCAGCUGGGGGAGGCACCACCCUAGGUCGGCC
Molecule: long non-coding RNA, 313 nt
Filed under: Heterocephalus glaber (naked mole-rat)
Lineage: Eukaryota; Metazoa; Chordata; Mammalia; Rodentia; Bathyergidae
Description: lncRNA (ENSHGLG00100039787.1)
Source: RNAcentral